GACGAACGCUGGCGGCGUGCUUAACACAUGCAAGUCGAACGGAAAGGCCCUGCUUUUGUGGGGUGCUCGAGUGGCGAACGGGUGAGUAACACGUGAGUAACCUGCCCUUGACUUUGGGAUAACUUCAGGAAACUGGGGCUAAUACCGGAUAGGAGCUCCUGCUGCAUGGUGGGGGUUGGAAAGUUUCGGCGGUUGGGGAUGGACUCGCGGCUUAUCAGCUUGUUGGUGGGGUAGUGGCUUACCAAGGCUUUGACGGGUAGCCGGCCUGAGAGGGUGACCGGCCACAUUGGGACUGAGAUACGGCCCAGACUCCUACGGGAGGCAGCAGUGGGGAAUAUUGCACAAUGGGCGGAAGCCUGAUGCAGCAACGCCGCGUGCGGGAUGACGGCCUUCGGGUUGUAAACCGCUUUCGCCUGUGACGAAGCGUGAGUGACGGUAAUGGGUAAAGAAGCACCGGCUAACUACGUGCCAGCAGCCGCGGUGAUACGUAGGGUGCGAGCGUUGUCCGGAUUUAUUGGGCGUAAAGGGCUCGUAGGUGGUUGAUCGCGUCGGAAGUGUAAUCUUGGGGCUUAACCCUGAGCGUGCUUUCGAUACGGGUUGACUUGAGGAAGGUAGGGGAGAAUGGAAUUCCUGGUGGAGCGGUGGAAUGCGCAGAUAUCAGAAGGAACACCAGUGGCGAAGGCGGUUCUCUGGGCCUUUCCUGACGCUGAGGAGCGAAAGCGUGGGGAGCGAACAGGCUUAGAUACCCUGGUAGUCCACGCUGUAAACGGUGGGUACUAGGUGUGGGGUCCAUUCCACGGGUUCCGUGCCGUAGCUAACGCUUUAAGUACCCCGCCUGGGGAGUACGGCCGCAAGGCUAAAACUCAAAGGAAUUGACGGGGCCCCGCACAAGCGGCGGAGCAUGCGGAUUAAUUCGAUGCAACGCGUAGAACCUUACCUGGGUUUGACAUGGAUCGGGAGUGCCCAGAGAUGGGUGUGCCUCUUUUGGGGUCGGUUCACAGGUGGUGCAUGGCUGUCGUCAGCUCGUGUCGUGAGAUGUUGGGUUAAGUCCCGCAACGAGCGCAACCCUUGUUCACUGUUGCCAGCACGUUAUGGUGGGGACUCAGUGGAGACCGCCGGGGUCAACUCGGAGGAAGGUGGGGAUGACGUCAAGUCAUCAUGCCCCUUAUGUCCAGGGCUUCACGCAUGCUACAAUGGCUGGUACAGAGAGUGGCGAGCCUGUGAGGGUGAGCGAAUCUCGGAAAGCCGGUCUCAGUUCGGAUUGGGGUCUGCAACUCGACCUCAUGAAGUCGGAGUCGCUAGUAAUCGCAGAUCAGCAACGCUGCGGUGAAUACGUUCCCGGGGCU
RNAcentral lists this ribosomal RNA (1346 nucleotides) under uncultured bacterium. Its description in RNAcentral is "bacterial SSU rRNA". It matches the Rfam family "Bacterial small subunit ribosomal RNA", at positions 28 to 1381 of the family's 1533-position model. The record is from RNAcentral.